Molecule: ribosomal RNA, 408 nt
Filed under: uncultured bacterium
Lineage: Bacteria
Description: partial 16S ribosomal RNA
Rfam family: Bacterial small subunit ribosomal RNA
Source: RNAcentral
AGUGAACGCUGGCGGCGUGCCUAAUACUUGCAAGUCGAAGGAAGUGGCGCACGGGUGAGUAAUAUAUAGCUAAUCUGCCCCUUGCUGGAGGACAACAGUUAGAAAUGAUUGCUAAUACUCCAUAGCAAGGGAUGAGACUAUAUCGUAUCAGCUAGUCGGUGGGGUAACGGCCUACCGAGGCUAUGACGCGUAACUGGUCUGAGAGAAUGAUCAGUCACAUGGGAACUGGGACACGAUCCAAACGCCUACGGGGGGCAGCAGUGGGGAAUAUUGCGCAAUGGGGGAAACACGGAGGCAGCAACGCCGCGUGGAGGAUGACACUUUUCGGAACAUAAACUCCUUUUGUUGGGGAAGCGGGACCGAACGAAUAAGCACCGGCAAACUACGUGCCAGCAGCCGCGGUAAUAC